This 65-nucleotide ribosomal RNA is filed under the name uncultured Rhodospirillales bacterium HF0500_23A22. Lineage: Bacteria; Pseudomonadati; Pseudomonadota; Alphaproteobacteria; Rhodospirillales. The record is from RNAcentral. RNAcentral also lists the same sequence under 1 other name.
UAGCGGCCGGGAACCACCUGAUCCCAUCCCGAACUCAGAAGUGAAACCAGCCUGCGCCGAUGGUA